AACGAACGCUGGCGGCAUGCCUAACACAUGCAAGUCGAACGAGACCUUCGGGUCUAGUGGCGCACGGGUGCGUAACGCGUGGGAACCUGCCUUUAGGUUCGGAAUAACUCAGAGAAAUUUGAGCUAAUACCGGAUGAUGUCUUCGGACCAAAGAUUUAUCGCCUUUAGAUGGGCCCGCGUUGGAUUAGCUAGUUGGUGGGGUAAAGGCCUACCAAGGCGACGAUCCAUAGCUGGUCUGAGAGGAUGAUCAGCCACACUGGGACUGAGACACGGCCCAGACUCCUACGGGAGGCAGGAGUGGGGAAUAUUGGACAAUGGGCGAAAGCCUGAACCAGCAAUGCCGCGUGAGUGAUGAAGGCCUUAGGGUUGUAAAGCUCUUUUACCCGAGAUGAUAAUGACAGUAUCGGGAGAAUAAGCUCCGGCUAACUCCGUG
This 433-nucleotide ribosomal RNA is filed under the name uncultured bacterium. Its description in RNAcentral is "partial 16S ribosomal RNA". It matches the Rfam family "Bacterial small subunit ribosomal RNA", at positions 29 to 507 of the family's 1533-position model. The record is from RNAcentral.